This 166-nucleotide ribosomal RNA is filed under the name uncultured bacterium. Its description in RNAcentral is "partial 16S rRNA". It matches the Rfam family "Bacterial small subunit ribosomal RNA", at positions 353 to 511 of the family's 1533-position model. The record is from RNAcentral.
GUAAGGGAAUCUUCGGCAAGUGGACGAAAGUCUGACCGAGCAACGCCGCGUGAGUGAAGAAGGUUUUCGGAUCGUAAACUCUGUUGGUAGAGAAGACGUUGGUGAGAGUGGAAAGCUCAUCAAGUGACGGUAACUACCCAGAAAGGGACGGCUAACUACGUGCCAG